RNAcentral lists this ribosomal RNA (414 nucleotides) under uncultured Gammaproteobacteria bacterium. Its description in RNAcentral is "partial 16S ribosomal RNA". Lineage: Bacteria; Pseudomonadati; Pseudomonadota; Gammaproteobacteria. The record is from RNAcentral.
UCCCGUCAAUUCAUUUGAGUUUUAAUCUUGCGACCGUACUCCCCAGGCGGUCAACUUCACGCGUUAGCUUCGUUACUAAGGAAAUGAAUCCCCAACAACUAGUUGACAUCGUUUACAGCGUGGACUACCAGGGUAUCUAAUCCUGUUUGCUACCCACGCUCUCGCGCCUCAGUGUCAGUGUCAAUCCAGGUAGCCGCCUUCGCCACUGGUGUUCCUUCCGAUAUCUACGCAUUUCACCGCUACACCGGAAAUUCCACUACCCUCUAUUGCACUCAGGCUAUGCAGUUUAAAUGGCAAUUCCCAGGUUAAGCCCGGGGAUUUCACCAUUCACUCACUUAACCACCUACGCGCCCUUUACGCCCAGUAAUUCCGAUUAACGCUUGCACCCUCUGUAUUACCGCGGCUGCUGGCACA